RNAcentral lists this long non-coding RNA (1004 nucleotides) under Erythranthe guttata (spotted monkey flower). RNAcentral's name for it is "long non-coding RNA (EGUT_LNC001637)". Lineage: Eukaryota; Viridiplantae; Streptophyta; Magnoliopsida; Lamiales; Phrymaceae. The record is from RNAcentral.
AUUCAUCAAAACUGCCCUUUUUUUGGCGGACUCACUGCCGUCAAAUUCUCAUCUCUAAAAGGCUAUAAAACUUGCUCGAAUUAGAAGCAAUUUAACACUUACAUAUAAUUAUCAUGGUCCUCGACGAGUUUUGUGAAGAGACUGAUUCGAAAAUCUCACUCCAAACCCUUCGAUUUCGACUCCGAAAACAGGUGCGGCAGAAGGUUUACUAUUUCUCAUAAUUUCGCCAACAUAGCUGUCGGGUUAAAUUUGGUUAUAUAACUUGAAGAAAUAACUAACAAAGUCUUUCUCAAAUAACAAAGUAUUCUCACCUCGAGUUAGCACCAAAAGCAACAUCAUAGACCAAAAUUUUCUUAGGUACACAACCACGAAUGACACACCUGAAAUAAGAAUCCAUUAGUUUCUUAAGAUUCACCUUCAAUCACAUUACUUUAAACUUGUUGCUCAAUGUGCAUAAGACAAAUUUCAAAUAACUAAUGACACAUAUAGAUGCUAACUAUGGACAGUAAACUAGAAACCAACGAUAUUUGUUGUCACAUUUUCUUCCAAAAAUCGUAGCAGGCCGUCCAAAUCGGGAAAACAAUAUACCAAAUAAAAGUUCACAACUUUAUCUACAAUUGUGAUGAAGAUACCAACCCCCAAUUACUAAGAUAACACAACAAUAACAGCCCAAAAAGUUGAAUACAGAAAACAGCCAGAAUUGUUUUGGACAAACUUGUUUGCUGUCACAGUUUAUUUGAAAAAUCAUAACAAUUUGUAGAGUUAUCCAAAUUGACCAAAUAAUAUACCAAAUCAAACCUCACAACUCAAUAUACAAAACAUAAGAAGACACAUAGCCUAAAUUAUUACUCCAACAUAACAAAAACAGCUCCGUAUGAUGAUUAGGCAAAACUGCCCUGUUUUUUGACAGAUUCGCUGUCGUCUGAUUCCGACCCCUAAAAGGCUAUAACACGUGCUCGAAUUGGAAAUAAUUAAACACUUACUCAUAGUUUUCGAGGUUCUCU